UACGGAGGAUCCAAGCGUUAUCCGGAAUCAUUGGGCUUAAAGGGUGCGUAGGCGGGAUGAUAAGUCAGUGGUGAAAGCCUGCAGCUUAACUACAGAACUGCCAUUGAUACUGUCAAUCUUGAGUACAUUUGAUGUGGGCGGAAUGUGUCAUGUAGCGGUGAAAUGCUUAGAUAUGACACAGAACACCGAUUGCGAAGGCAGCUCACAAAACUGGAACUGACGCUGAGGCACGAAAGCGUGGGUAUCAAACAGG
RNAcentral lists this ribosomal RNA (253 nucleotides) under uncultured bacterium. RNAcentral's name for it is "partial 16S ribosomal RNA". It matches the Rfam family "Bacterial small subunit ribosomal RNA", at positions 524 to 776 of the family's 1533-position model. The record is from RNAcentral.